This 429-nucleotide ribosomal RNA is filed under the name uncultured bacterium. Its description in RNAcentral is "bacterial SSU rRNA". It matches the Rfam family "Bacterial small subunit ribosomal RNA", at positions 355 to 776 of the family's 1533-position model. The record is from RNAcentral.
UGGGGAAUAUUGGACAAUGGGCGCAAGCCUGAUCCAGCAAUGCCGCGUGUGUGAAGAAGGCCUGCGGGUUGUAAAGCACUUUUGUUCGGGAAGAAAUCAUGCUGGCUAAUACCUGGUAUGGAUGACGGUACCGAAAGAAUAAGCACCGGCUAACUUCGUGCCAGCAGCCGCGGUAAUACGAAGGGUGCAAGCGUUAAUCGGAAUUACUGGGCGUAAAGGGUGCGUAGGCGGCCUUUUAAGUCGGAUGUGAAAUCCCCGGGCUCAACCUGGGAAUGGCAUCCGAUACUGGGAGGCUAGAGUUUGGGAGAGGGUGGUGGAAUUCCCGGUGUAGCGGUGAAAUGCGUAGAGAUCGGGAGGAACAUCAGUGGCGAAGGCGGCCACCUGGCCUAAAACUGACGCUGAAGCACGAAAGCGUGGGGAGCAAACAGG